Long non-coding RNA from Cucumis melo (muskmelon), 243 nucleotides. RefSeq lists it as uncharacterized. The record is from RefSeq and is a predicted model, not a curated record. NCBI's taxonomy places the organism in Eukaryota, Viridiplantae, Streptophyta, Magnoliopsida, Cucurbitales, Cucurbitaceae. The transcript has 3 exons.
GCCGAACCAAGCCGAGCCGCAAGCCGAGUGAGCCGAGCCGCGAGCCGAACCAAGCCGAGCCGAGCCGAGCCGAGCCGAGCCGAGCUGAGCCGAGCCGAGCCGAGCCACCUAAGCCUUCUUUCCUCCACUUCGGUUCACGGUAGUACAGAGUUGACGCUUAAGUUCUCGGGUUCCGCGGCAGGCCUGGUUGGAGAUAGUUUCCUUUCCUUGGGUGGAUCUGUUGAGCGUAGAUUUCGAUCGAGG